UAAUUAGUUAUGAUGAGGAAGAGUAAUUGCAGGCUUGAAAUAAAGAGAGGGAAUGAUGGUGGAAAUUUUCCGUGAUGGAUGCGAUGAAGGUAGCCUUGGAGCUUUAAACCGAAAAUAUUAUAUAUGAGUAGGCUUUAAUGGAGUUCCCACCAUUAAAAGGGAAGUAGUAUCGGUAGCUAUACCCGUACUAUAAUGAGUGUGUAUUUUUGUACAAAUUUAGGUGGUACCACGGAGUUACAGUCUUCGUCCUAUUU
This 254-nucleotide non-coding RNA is filed under the name Clostridium carboxidivorans. RNAcentral's name for it is "T-box sequence". It matches the Rfam family "T-box leader". Rfam says of the family: Uncharged tRNA acts as the effector for transcription antitermination of genes in the T-box leader family. T-boxes are found upstream of many aminoacyl-tRNA synthetase genes and some amino acid biosynthetic genes usually in Gram-positive bacteria. The anticodon of a specific tRNA base pairs to a specifier sequence within the T-box motif, and the NCCA acceptor tail of the tRNA base pairs to a conserved bulge in the T-box antiterminator hairpin. Lineage: Bacteria; Bacillati; Bacillota; Clostridia; Eubacteriales; Clostridiaceae. The record is from RNAcentral.